CCCGGAUGUAAUUGUAACAAGAAGCUGAUUCUCAAUAUAUCGUAUGACUGGAGUAAACACAGGGCUUCCUGGGUGCCCAUCCAGUCUUGAAAGCAAGCUGCCUCCAGUUCCUGCCGCUGAGUCCUUGGAGCCAUAUUCAGAUGAGAUCAUCUCAGGAGCCAACAGCAGUCGCUUUCAGGCAAAGUGAAUGGUGCCGCCUGGGGACAUAUCUUUGGUGAUGCCUCGCCAAGCAGAUAAGAUUACCUGUUCACCUACAGUUAAUCUUCAAACUGACUUCUGUAGGCUAUGGAAAUAAAAGGAUAAGACUGCGCAGCUUGAAUGUCCCAUCAAGGUAAUCAAAGUAAUGGAAGAGGGAGAGAAGACAGAUUUCAAAAUAAAGACUGAACUGUACUUCAGCAGCACUUAAGAAAACACUAUCUGACUAAGCUACUGAGGAGCAGACAAAUACCCAAAGGACUGCACAUUCUCUAAAGAUUACUGUGCUCACAGUUCUUGCUUUCCUCAAGGUUCUGCAAGAGAUCACAUCAUAAAAUCAUGUGUUAUCUUAAAAAUGGAUAGAUAUAUACUAACAUCCAGAAUUCUACUGAUUUUCUUACAAAUAAAACUACAACCUUAUUUCAACCCAAACCCCUGAAACAGGAAUAAAAUAUUUUGUUUAGUCUUUCAAAUGUUUCUCUCAUCCCUUUUAUAAGGAAAAAAAAAAAAGAUUAGAGAAAGG
Molecule: long non-coding RNA, 718 nt
Organism: Eptesicus fuscus (big brown bat)
Lineage: Eukaryota; Metazoa; Chordata; Mammalia; Chiroptera; Vespertilionidae
Exons: 3
Source: RefSeq, a predicted model, not a curated record